UGAGGAACAUGACCUUCGGCGGGGGAUAGCCGGCCCAACGGCCGGGUAAUACCGCGUACGACCACAUGGGGACAUCCCUGAGUGGUGAAAGCAGCAAUGCGCCGAUGGAGUGCCUCGCGGCCUAUCAGCUAGUUGGUGAGGUAACGGCUCACCAAGGCAACGACGGGUAGCUGGUCUGAGAGGAUGGCCAGCCAUAUUGGGACUGAGACACGGCCCAGACCUCUACGGGAGG
This 232-nucleotide ribosomal RNA is filed under the name uncultured bacterium. Its description in RNAcentral is "partial 16S ribosomal RNA". It matches the Rfam family "Bacterial small subunit ribosomal RNA", at positions 118 to 347 of the family's 1533-position model. The record is from RNAcentral.